This 443-nucleotide ribosomal RNA is filed under the name uncultured bacterium. RNAcentral describes it as "bacterial SSU rRNA". It matches the Rfam family "Bacterial small subunit ribosomal RNA", at positions 30 to 504 of the family's 1533-position model. The record is from RNAcentral.
UGAACGCUGGCGGUAUGCCUAACACAUUCAAGUCGUACGAGAGUUUUUAACUCUAGUGGCGGACGGGUGAGUAACACGUGAGAAUUUGCCUUUAGGAGGGGGAUAACAAUUGGAAACGACUGCUAAUACCCCAUAUGCUUUCGAGUGAAAUGGAUUUAUAUAUAUAUCCGCCUAAAGAGAAGCUCGCGGCUGAUUAGCUUGUUGGUAAGGUAAGAGCUUACCAAGGCGACGAUCAGUAUCUGGUUUGAGAGGACGAUCAGACACACUGGAACUGAGACACGGUCCAGACUCCUACGGGAGGCAGCAGUGGGGAAUUUUCCGCAAUGGGCGAAAGCCUGACGGAGCAAUACCGCGUGAGGGAAGACUGCCUAUGGGUUGUAAACCUCUUUUUUCAGGGAGGAAUAAAAUGACGUGUACCUGAAGAAUAAGCAUCGGCUAACUCC